GGAGAGGUGGCCCCAGAGGCUCAAAGCACUCCCCUGCUAAGGGAGAACGGCAUAACAACCGUCGAGGGUUCAAAUCCCUCCCUCUCCG
RNAcentral lists this transfer RNA (88 nucleotides) under Kamptonema sp. SIO1D9. Its description in RNAcentral is "tRNA-Ser". It matches the Rfam family "tRNA". From Rfam's summary of the family: Transfer RNA (tRNA) molecules are approximately 80 nucleotides in length. Their secondary structure includes four short double-helical elements and three loops (D, anti-codon, and T loops). RNAcentral also lists the same sequence under 1 other name. The record is from RNAcentral. Lineage: Bacteria; Bacillati; Cyanobacteriota; Cyanophyceae; Oscillatoriales; Microcoleaceae.